Long non-coding RNA from Bos taurus (domestic cattle), 305 nucleotides. The record is from Ensembl. Lineage: Eukaryota; Metazoa; Chordata; Mammalia; Artiodactyla; Bovidae.
CAUUUGAAUUGAUUAUUGCGUAUGGUGUGAGAUGAGGCCGACAGGUGUAUGGGUAGAUGCUCAGCAUCAGGGAAUUGCAGAUCAAAGCCACAGUGUGGUGUCAUCUCACAUCUGUUGAAAUGGAUUUUAUUGAAAAAACCAAAAGACAGCACGUGUUGGUGAGGUUGUGGAGAGACUGGAACCCUUGCACGCUGGUGCAGUUGCUAUGGAAAAUAAUAUGGAGAUUCCUCAAAAAACUGCAAGUAUCAAAUGAUCCUGCAAUCCCACUUGUGGUGUUCUUACCUGAAGAAUCCCAGGGACAGAGA